This 1059-nucleotide ribosomal RNA is filed under the name Neisseria macacae. RNAcentral describes it as "bacterial SSU rRNA". It matches the Rfam family "Bacterial small subunit ribosomal RNA", at positions 401 to 1454 of the family's 1533-position model. Lineage: Bacteria; Pseudomonadati; Pseudomonadota; Betaproteobacteria; Neisseriales; Neisseriaceae. The record is from RNAcentral.
GUGUCUGAAGAAGGCCUUCGGGUUGUAAAGGACUUUUGUCAGGGAAGAAAAGGGCGGGGUUAAUACCCCUGUCUGAUGACGGUACCUGAAGAAUAAGCACCGGCUAACUACGUGCCAGCAGCCGCGGUAAUACGUAGGGUGCGAGCGUUAAUCGGAAUUACUGGGCGUAAAGCGGGCGCAGACGGUUACUUAAGCAGGAUGUGAAAUCCCCGGGCUCAACCUGGGAACUGCGUUCUGAACUGGGUGACUAGAGUGUGUCAGAGGGAGGUAGAAUUCCACGUGUAGCAGUGAAAUGCGUAGAGAUGUGGAGGAAUACCGAUGGCGAAGGCAGCCUCCUGGGAUAACACUGACGUUCAUGCCCGAAAGCGUGGGUAGCAAACAGGAUUAGAUACCCUGGUAGUCCACGCCCUAAACGAUGUCGAUUAGCUGUUGGGCAGCAUGACUGCUUAGUAGCGAAGCUAACGCGUGAAAUCGACCGCCUGGGGAGUACGGUCGCAAGAUUAAAACUCAAAGGAAUUGACGGGGACCCGCACAAGCGGUGGAUGAUGUGGAUUAAUUCGAUGCAACGCGAAGAACCUUACCUGGUCUUGACAUGUACGGAACCCUCCAGAGACGGAGGGGUGCCUUCGGGAGCCGUAACACAGGUGCUGCAUGGCUGUCGUCAGCUCGUGUCGUGAGAUGUUGGGUUAAGUCCCGCAACGAGCGCAACCCUUGUCAUUAGUUGCCAUCAUUAAGUUGGGCACUCUAAUGAGACUGCCGGUGACAAGCCGGAGGAAGGUGGGGAUGACGUCAAGUCCUCAUGGCCCUUAUGACCAGGGCUUCACACGUCAUACAAUGGUCGGUACAGAGGGUAGCCAAGCCGCGAGGUGGAGCCAAUCUCACAAAACCGAUCGUAGUCCGGAUUGCACUCUGCAACUCGAGUGCAUGAAGUCGGAAUCGCUAGUAAUCGCAGGUCAGCAUACUGCGGUGAAUACGUUCCCGGGUCUUGUACACACCGCCCGUCACACCAUGGGAGUGGGGGAUACCAGAAGUAGGUAGGGUAACCGCAAGGAGCCCGCU